AUGGAGGACCUCAAUCUGCAGCCGCCGCUCUCUCCAACCUCGAUGCUAAACGCAUCGCUCCGUUCCAAGCGGGACUCAACCAGGGCAUCUCUUCACGUGCUCGCUUCGGGCUGCCCGGACCUGAUCGACUUCUGCUCUCCAAACGCCAUGUUGCGCCCGCUCAACACGCCCUCUCCGUCGAGGCUGCCUGGCUUUGAGGCGUCUCCCACGCCUCCCCUGCUCUGCUCUGGACCACCUCGACGCACUCCCUCGCCGCCACGCGUCAGACAAAGUGCCGCUGUGCAGAAGAUCCUUGAGGAGUUGCAGGAGCUCUUUGUGCCUGCCCAAGAGCCGCUGCUGCCUUCCCCUCCGCCCAUCAGACCGUCGGCUCGCGGCAAGACUCUAGCGGGGAUGGCCAUCUGCAACAAAGGAGGCGGCAUCUCACUCAGGCGCUCUAGUGCGCGACUAAGGGCAGAUAGGCAGGCUCCGGUUGCCAAGAGAGCUAAGGCCCUCGUCUGCCGUAGCCUGGGCAUUGUACAGAAUGGUGAGGAUAUAACCGUGCAAGCUAUGGACAACUUUGCCAAGAAAUUCAAAGAUCGUCUUCCUGAUGACGUGAUUGGAGCUAUGAGGGCCCUAUUCAAGCUGGAUGAUGACCAUAUUUGUGUGGCCGAAGCUGGGCUCAUAGCGCAUGGUGGCCCCAAUGCGCUCGAUCACGUUGAUGAGGCUACUGCCUGA
This 714-nucleotide ribosomal RNA is filed under the name Triticum aestivum (bread wheat). RNAcentral's name for it is "partial small subunit ribosomal RNA". Lineage: Eukaryota; Viridiplantae; Streptophyta; Magnoliopsida; Poales; Poaceae. The record is from RNAcentral.